CUAAUGACUCUCGGCAACGGAUAUCUCGGCUCUCGCAUCGAUGAAGAACGUAGCGAAAUGCGAUACUUGGUGUGAAUUGCAGAAUCCCGUGAACCAUCGAGUUUUUGAACGCAAGUUGCGCCCAAAGCCAUUUGGUUGAGGGCACGUCUGCCUGGGCGUCACGU
RNAcentral lists this ribosomal RNA (164 nucleotides) under Chrysosplenium japonicum. RNAcentral's name for it is "5.8S ribosomal RNA". It matches the Rfam family "5.8S ribosomal RNA". From Rfam's summary of the family: 5.8S ribosomal RNA (5.8S rRNA) is a component of the large subunit of the eukaryotic ribosome. It is transcribed by RNA polymerase I as part of the 45S precursor that also contains 18S and 28S rRNA. The record is from RNAcentral. Lineage: Eukaryota; Viridiplantae; Streptophyta; Magnoliopsida; Saxifragales; Saxifragaceae. RNAcentral also lists the same sequence under 1 other name.